RNAcentral lists this ribosomal RNA (440 nucleotides) under uncultured bacterium. RNAcentral describes it as "partial 16S ribosomal RNA". It matches the Rfam family "Bacterial small subunit ribosomal RNA", at positions 338 to 795 of the family's 1533-position model. The record is from RNAcentral.
CCUACGGGAGGCAGCAGUGGGGAAUAUUGCACAAUGGGGGAAACCCUGAUGCAGCGACGCCGCGUGAGUGAAGAAGUAUUUCGGUAUGUAAAGCUCUAUCAGCAGGGAAGAAAAUGACGGGACCUGAUUAAGAAGCCCCGGCUAACUACGUGCCAGCAGCCGCGGUAAUACGUAGGGGGCAAGCGUUAUCCGGAUUUACUGGGUGUAGAGGGAGCGUAGACGGCAGCACAAGUCUGGCGUGAAAUGCCGGGGCUUAACCCGGGAACUGCUUUGGAAACUGGGCAGCUAGAGUGUAGGAGAGGUAAGUGGAAUUCCUGGUGUAGCGGUGAAAUGCGUAGAUAUUAGGAGGAACACCAGUGGCGAAGGCGGCUUCCUGGACUGUAACUGACGUUGAGGCUCGAAAGCGUGGGGAGCAAACAGGAUUAGAUACCCGGGUAGUC